UUGCCGGUGAUGAUAGCUUAUAUCAGCAUACCAUCUUUCGGGACUGAUUGGUGAAUGUUACCAGGAUGAUAUUCUGCAAUUCUGAGGCGU
Small nucleolar RNA from Elaeis guineensis (African oil palm), 90 nucleotides. RefSeq annotates it as small nucleolar RNA SNORD96 family. NCBI's taxonomy places the organism in Eukaryota, Viridiplantae, Streptophyta, Magnoliopsida, Arecales, Arecaceae. The record is from RefSeq and is a predicted model, not a curated record.